AGGACGAACGCUGGCGGCGUGCUUAACACAUGCAAGUCGAGCGGUAAGGCUCCUUCGGGAGUACACGAGCGGCGAACGGGUGAGUAACACGUGAGCAAUCUGCCCUUCACUUCGGGAUAACUCCGGGAAACCGGUGCUAAUACCGAAUACGACCACUUCAGGCAUCUGAUGGUGGUGGAAAGUUCCGGCGGUGAAGGAUGAGCUCGCGGCCUAUCAGCUUGUUGGUGAGGUAAUGGCCCACCAAGGCAACGACGGGUAGCCGGCCUGAGAGGGUGACCGGCCACACUGGGACUGAGACACGGCCCAGACUCCUACGGGAGGCAGCAGUGGGGAAUAUUGGACAAUGGGCGAAAGCCUGAUGCAGCGACGUCGCGUGAAGGAUGAAAUCUUUCGGGAUGUAAACUUCUUUAUCAGCCAUGAAACAAAUGACAGUAGCUGAUGAAUAAGCCCCGGCUAACUACGUGCCAGCAGCCGC
RNAcentral lists this ribosomal RNA (475 nucleotides) under uncultured bacterium. RNAcentral's name for it is "SSU rRNA". It matches the Rfam family "Bacterial small subunit ribosomal RNA", at positions 26 to 518 of the family's 1533-position model. The record is from RNAcentral.